AUUGAACGCUGGCGGCAGGCCUAACACAUGCAAGUCGAGCGGUAGAGAGAAGCUUGCUUCUCUUGAGAGCGGCGGACGGGUGAGUAAUGCCUAGGAAUCUGCCUGGUAGUGGGGGAUAACGUUCGGAAACGGACGCUAAUACCGCAUACGUCCUACGGAGAAAGCAGGGGGACUUUGGGGCCUGCGCUUUCCGAUGAACCUAGGUCGGAUUAGCUAGUUGGUGGGGUAAUGGCUCACCAAGGCGACGAUCCGUAACUGGUCUGAGAGGAUGAUCAGUCACACUGGAACUGAGACACGGUCCAGACUCCUACGGGAGGCAGCAGUGGGGAAUAUUGGACAAUGGGCGAAAGCCUGAUCCAGCCAUGCCGCGUGUGUGAAGAAGGUCUUCGGAUUGUAAAGCACUUUAAGUUGGGAGGAAGGGCAGUAAAUUAAUACUUUGCUGUUUUGACGUUACCGACAGAAUAAGCACCGGCUAACUCUGUG
RNAcentral lists this ribosomal RNA (483 nucleotides) under uncultured bacterium. RNAcentral's name for it is "partial 16S ribosomal RNA". It matches the Rfam family "Bacterial small subunit ribosomal RNA", at positions 30 to 507 of the family's 1533-position model. The record is from RNAcentral.